Molecule: non-coding RNA, 114 nt
Organism: Pelobates cultripes (western spadefoot toad)
Lineage: Eukaryota; Metazoa; Chordata; Amphibia; Anura; Pelobatidae
Source: the annotation of a GenBank genome assembly
GUUGGUUAUGGAGAUAUGUGCCCUAUUACAUUGGGGGGUAAGGUUGUGGGGACUCUGUGUGCUAUUGCAGGGGUCUUGACCAUUGCUCUACCAGUCCCAGUGAUAGUGUCUAAC